ACUACUUGUACGCUAAUGCCGUAAUGUAUAAUUGGAAUUGAAUUAUUUCUGGAUUUACAAAGAAAAACAGCAAGACUUGCCGCAGCCAAAAGUAUAUCAACCGCUUUUAUAGCUUCGCAAAAGAAAGAAUCAUCAUCCUGGACAAUCAAGAACCAAUGGAUCAGAUUUUCUUUCACCAAAACAUUUUUGUAUGCAUUGAAAAAGAAGUAAAAGUUACUUCUAUGAAAGAAUUACGAAACUUCUUAAUUUCUGUUAUCGUAUUUUGUUGGAGAUAGUUCUUGAUCGAUAAAAAAAGAGGCUAUACGCGAAGCGUGUGACGUACAGUAUGAAGAAAAGAAUUGUGAAGCUGUGACAGAUGAAUGUCCAAAAAAUAAUCUUUUAUAGGACCAAAUCUUUCUGUAAUAAUUGGAGCAUUUAAACCCGCAAAAAUUGUCGGUAUUCCCAGAGGUUUGAAAAAACUUGUUUCCUCAAAAAUGAAGAGUCUACGAUACACAGAAGUUAUAUAUUAUAUUAUAUAGAAAUCCUUGGAAUGCGCCACUUCUGAGUCUAUUAAAAGUCUUUACAAUCAAUUACUUACCAUACAUGGCAGUAGUGUAAUAUAAAUUUGAAUGGAAUUAUUUCAGGACUUAGAAA
This is a long non-coding RNA of Vespula vulgaris, 633 nucleotides long. RefSeq lists it as uncharacterized. Lineage: Eukaryota; Metazoa; Arthropoda; Insecta; Hymenoptera; Vespidae. The record is from RefSeq and is a predicted model, not a curated record. The transcript has 3 exons.